This 363-nucleotide unclassified non-coding RNA is filed under the name uncultured bacterium. Its description in RNAcentral is "contains 16S-23S intergenic spacer region". The record is from RNAcentral.
UCCCCGUUGCCGAGGCAGUUUCCUAUGACACUUGUAACAUAGGACAGGGGUUGCGCUCGUUACCCGACUUAACGGAACAUCUCAAGACACGAGCUGACGGCAACCAUGCAGCACCUGUCUAGCUGUCUUAAUAGAAAGUCUCUGUUUCUAGAGACGGUCAGCUAGAUGUCAAGUCCAGGUGAGGUUCCUCGCUUAUCGUCGAAUUAAACCAGACGCUCCACCGCUUGUGCGAGUCCCCGUCUAUUCCUUUGAGUUUUAAGCUUGCGCUCGUACUUCCCAGGCGGAACACUUAACGCGUUAGCUUCGCCACGUGGAGGGUCGAUACUCCACAUGGCUAGUGUUCAGCGUUUACGGCGUGGACUA